UAGAACAUUGGAACCACCUGAUCCCAUCCCGAACUCAGUAGGGAAACGAUGUAUCGCGGAUGGUAGUGUGGUGUUUCCCCAUGUGAGAGUAGGUCAUCGUCAAGA
This 105-nucleotide ribosomal RNA is filed under the name Pseudomonas syringae. The record is from RNAcentral. Lineage: Bacteria; Pseudomonadati; Pseudomonadota; Gammaproteobacteria; Pseudomonadales; Pseudomonadaceae.